GCUGGAAGAGGCAAAGGAUUUGCUUUCUGACUGGCUGGAUUCCACACUUGGCAGUGAGGUGACAGACAAUUCUAUUUUCUCCAAGCUGCCCAGGUUCUGGGAAGGGGAAUUCCACAAAGACAUGGAAGCUCUGAAUGUUCUCCCUCCGGAUGUCUUAACGCGUGUUAGUGAGUACGUGCCAGAAAUCAUAAACUUUGUCCAGAAGAUUGUGGACAACGGUUACGGCUAUACUUCAAAUGGGUCUGUCUACUUUGAUACAGUGAAGUUUGCAUCUAGUGAGAAACACUCCUAUGGGAAGCUGGUGCCCGAAGCUAUUGGGGAUCAGAGAGCUCUUCAAGAAGG
Molecule: long non-coding RNA, 342 nt
Organism: Galeopterus variegatus (Sunda flying lemur)
Lineage: Eukaryota; Metazoa; Chordata; Mammalia; Dermoptera; Cynocephalidae
Exons: 3
Source: RefSeq, a predicted model, not a curated record